AUCAACUUUCGAUGGUAGGAUAGAGGCCUACCAUGGUGGUAACGGGUAACGGGGUGUUAGGGCACGACACCGGAGAGGGAGCCUGAGAAACGGCUACCACAUCCAAGGAUGGCAGCAGGCGCGCAGAUUACCCAAUCCCGACACGGGGAGGUAGUGACAAUAAAUAACAAUACGGGGUUCUUUAGGAUCUCGUAAUUGGAAUGAGUACAAUUUAAAUCUCUUAACGAGGAACAAUUGGAGGGCAAGUCUGGUGCCAGCAGCCGCGGUAAUUCCAGCUCCAAUAGCGUAUAUUAAAGUUGUUGCAGUUAAAAAGCUCGUAGUUGAAUUUCGGGGUCAGUAGGUCGGUCGUGCCACUGGUAUGAACUGGUUUUACUGAUUCCUCCCUCUUGAAGAACUGUAAUGCCAUUAAUUUGGUGUUGCAGGGAAUCAGGACUGUUACUUUGAAAAAAUUAGAGUGUUUAAAGCAGGCUUUAGCUUGAAUACAUUAGCAUGGAAUAAUGAAAUAGGACGUUUGAUCCUAUUUUGUUGGUUUCUAGGAUUGACGUAAUGAUUAAUAGGGAUAGUUGGGGGCAUUAGUAUUCAAUUGUCAGAGGUGAAAUUCUUGGAUUUAUUGAAGACUAACUACUGCGAAAGCAUUUGCCAAGGAUGUUUUCAUUAAUCAAGAACGAAAGUUAGGGGAUCGAAGACGAUCAGAUACCGUCGUAGUCUUAACCAUAAACUAUGCCGACUAGGGAUCGGAUGAUGUUAAUUUUUUAAUGACUCAUUCGGCGCCUUACGGGAAACCAAAGUGUUUGGGUUC
This 799-nucleotide ribosomal RNA is filed under the name uncultured Glomeraceae. RNAcentral describes it as "SSU rRNA". It matches the Rfam family "Eukaryotic small subunit ribosomal RNA", at positions 314 to 1114 of the family's 1831-position model. The record is from RNAcentral. Lineage: Eukaryota; Fungi; Glomeromycota; Glomeromycetes; Glomerales; Glomeraceae.